This 12710-nucleotide long non-coding RNA is filed under the name Lathyrus oleraceus (garden pea). RNAcentral's name for it is "Pisum sativum (pea) long non-coding RNA (PSAT_LNC008386)". The record is from RNAcentral. Lineage: Eukaryota; Viridiplantae; Streptophyta; Magnoliopsida; Fabales; Fabaceae.
UGGCAAAUCAACAAAAUUAAAAAAUUCCUUAUCCUCGGGAUAGAGAUGUUCCCUAAAAUCCGGUAUGGUUUCUUGUAUGCCUCCAACUAAAACAUGACACACCAUUAGAGGACAAAUAUCCCAAAUACCAAAACAAAUAGACCAUAUGUGACCAAAAAAUAGAAUGUUCUUUCCCAAAGCUAUAGACAGAAAGAAUGUGAACCUUGACUGCAAAUAUAAUCAGGUUCCAUAGGUUAUCUCCUGUGUAAUAUCCAAACACAAGAGACUAAGGACCUGACAAAAGUAGAUGUUGCGUAUCAAAAUCAAACAAAGAUCGAAAUGAGAAGAGUAUUGAUUUUGUGUAGCUUAAUCGAGAUCGCCAGAUAAAAAUCAUCUAAGCACAUAUUCUAGUCAUAGUAAAGAUCACCAGAUAAAAAUACAAUAACAACUAAUUGCAAGUUCUUGUGCUCAAUUAGACUCCCACUUAUGCCAUGUUCUUGCACUAAGAAUUAAUAUAUAGGAUGCAGAGUCAAGAUAGACGGCUAAGAUAACAUGAUUACGGUAAUUAAAAAGACACCUCAUAAGAACAUGAGAUAACAAAGAUAGUUUCUAGCUGUUACAUAGCAAAGUGUGUACCAUGCUCGAGGCAGUGUAAAUAAAAAUGAAGAUAGAAGUCCCUCAGUACGAGUUAAGCAAAGAGAUAUUCUAGAAUCUCGAGUGUUCUUAGUUAAUGCACGUCGAUACAUUUACAUGACACUACAUUUACAAUUUUCAAGAGAGAAAAUUCAAAGAAUUAACCGAAGCACAAAGGAUACAUAACAGAGUUCAAGCCGGUGUUUGUUAGGAACUAAGAAAUAUGUGGUGUUCAACCAAGCACUUGGGCUUGAGUAAUAAACAAGCUCCUGCUAAGGAACGAAAGUCCAAGAAAUACUGAGUUCGAUUCCUGGUGAGAACAAUGCUUGGCCAAUGUCAUGACCUCUCAGCACGAACUCUGGAUUCAAUUUUAUGUACAUCACCAAAUAAAUGAAGGGUAUAGAAAAGCAUCCCCAUGUCCUUCAAAGCGACCAAAAGUCUAAAAUAUAUGUUUUUCCCAAUACUAUGCAGGCCCACUCAAACCAUCAUAGAAUUAUCUAUAAAAACAAUUUCUAUAAUCCAAAACAAAGACAUAUAUAAGUUAGAAAAAAAUCAUGUAUAACCUCUACCAAAACUCACAAUACACCAGACCAUGCAACAUUCUCUAUCGAAAUCGACAACUAAAACACUACAAUAAAAUAUUAUUCAAAAUUCAAAAUUUAUAUUCCUCUCCAAAACAAUAGGUCACUCAUCUAUGAUAUCUGGUAGACGGCUAGAAAAAAUUUCAGUCUCAAACAUAAUACAUAACACUUAGACACAUAGAAGAAGACAACAACUGAUAUUGAAUGGGUUGCCGUUUCUUACAUGAAACUAGAAGUGUAAUUCUCCAAACCAAGUGGCAAAUCAGAGGAACAAAGUGAUUACACCAAGCCAUUCUCCAUCUACAGAAAAGCAUGCUGCUUAUUAUGUUGAGAAAAUAGAACCUUACACCACUGUGACAGAGAUGUCAAUAAAAAAAAGGGAAAAGGGCCAAGUGUAAUUUUGCAAAUUAAGUGGCAUGUCAGAAGAACGAAGUGAUUCCACCAAGUUAUUCUUCCUUACACGACUAUGACAGAGAUGUCAUUAAAAAAAAGGAGGAAAAGGGAAAUGUAAUUUUGCAAACCAAGAAAUGAUUCCACAGUUAUUCUUCCUGUCUAGAAGAGUAAAGUAACUAAGAAUGCACAUAAAUAAAAUAGGCUCUUCAGAAUCAAUUAAACUUAAAAAACAAAAAACAGAGGAUAAAACAUAGAAAGAUGAAAACCAACAGAAUAGAAAAGCGUCGAGCCUCCCGAAUUCCUCAUCUUUAGUACAAUCCUGAUACAAAAACACAAACUCCAAGAUUACCAGGACAAACCAUCAAAGGACAAAUAUCCCCAAUCCCAAAACAAAUAUUUAAAAUAGUGACGGGUUUUAUCCCAAGGUUGAAUGGACAAAAUGUGGUAACCUCUACUUGCCACAGGCCAAAGCACACCAUAAAUCAAGUAAACUUAAUAGCAUAAUUCUACUGUGACAAAUGAGUUAUAGGAAAAUAACCAAUUAAACUUAAUAGCAUAAUUCUACUGUGACAAAUGAGUCAUAGAAAAAUAACCAAGAAGAAAGAAAGAAUAAUAGCAUAAUUCUUUAAACCACCAAGUCGCAUAACAGCAUAACAAAGUGAGGCCCACCAAGCUGCCCCAACUUCAUGCAGUACAUCAAAACCCAUGUAACGCUUACUAUGUCAAUACAUGAUAGAUAUACAAUAAAUUGUGCUGAGACAAGCUUGUAGAAAAAGAACCAAGAAGAAAGAAAGAAAGAAUAAUCGCAUAAUUUUUCAAACCACCAAGUCGCAGAUCAGCAUAACAAAGAGAGGCCCAACAAGCUGCCCCAACUUCUCCGGAAUUACGGAACUUAUUCCCUGUCAGAAUACAGAUCAAAAACCCAAAUGUAUAACUAACAUUUGUAAAAGAGAAGUAAUACUGCUGGUAAGAAUCCCUAAAGCUGAACUUUUCAAUUAAACCUCAAUAGAAUUUUCUCAACGGAAACAGCCAAGUGCAAAUCAUUAAGGAGUAAAUCAAGAAUCUGGUUAAAUUACGUCAUUACACUCUAAUAGGACAUCUAUUAUUCAAAUGUACAUUCAAGGGGAAAAAAUGACUGGUUAAAUGCAAAGGUUAAAAUUCCAUGAUACAUUCAUAGCCUCUCUCCAACGAAUCAUCGAGCAAAAUGUCCACGACAAUCAUGUAAGAAUAUUCCAUAUGACGUCUACAGGAAACUUAUGAAGAAACCCCAAAAAAAUAAGAUCUUAACAUAUAUACAAAGAAACAUGACAAAUUAAUAGUCAUAGAAGAGAUCACCCGAUGAAAGUACAACAACAACAAUGCAGCCUCUUGUGUCAUUUAGGCUCCCCUUUUGCCAAGUUCUUACACCAGUUGCAGAUUCUGUGAGGGAUACCCAUAUGGGAGAGAAGAUUUUUAGUUUCAUAACCUCUCUCCCAUGAAACAUCAAGCAGAAUGUCUCCACGAAAGUCACGACAAUCAUCUAAGCACAUAUUCCAUGCGACGCCUACAUGGAACUCGCAAAGAAAUCGAUAAAACAAGACCUUAAUAUAUAGAAAGAAACAUGAAUAAUUAGUAGUCAUAGGAGUGAUCACCAUACGAAAGUACAACAAUCAAUCAAUUGUAGGCUCUUGUGCUCAAUUAGGCUCCCCUUAUGCCAAGUUCUUGCACCAAUUGUAGAUUCUCUAUAGGGGAGAAGAUUUUUAGUUUAGUCUUAUAAAUCACAUAUGACAAGAAUAAAAAUGAAAAAAUAAAUUAUAACAAAGUAAAUGGCAAUAUAAUCCCAUAACGAAAAGAAAAAAAAAACUAAUAGCGAUCUUCUUGAUAGUAGCAUGUAGAAGAAUACAAGAACCACGGACCCUAAAAUCAAUGCAAUGAGAGAACCUUGAAGGAUGGUUAUAUAGGAUGCAGAGUCAAGAUAGACGGCUAAGAUAACACGAUUGAAGUAAUUAAGAAGACUCCUCGCAAGAAAAGUGAGUUAACGAAGACAAUUUCCAACUGCUUCAUAGCAAAGUGUGUACCAAGCUCGAUGCAGUGUAAAUAAGAAUGAAGAUAGAAGUCCCUCACUGUAGGUUAAGCAAAGAGAUAUAUUCUAGAAUCUUGAGUGUUUGUUAUGUCAAGACUUAAAUUCAUGGAUUGCCUCUCCUUUCUCUCCCAUGAAUCAACUGAACUUAAAAAUCAAGGAUAAAACAAAGAAAGAUGGAAACUAACAGAACAAAAAAAAAACCUUCUGAAUUCAUCAUCUUCAGUGCAGGUAGAAAGAUAUACUCUAGAAUCUUGUAUGCUUCAACGUUCCAAUUUUUGGAAGAGCGGAGUUAGCCCAUUAUCUUGUAUGCUCUAAACCAAAGUAAAAUUCAUGUUACAAAUAUAGAAACAUAAUCGCGUAUUAUAGAAUAAUGCAUAAUUUUAUCCCAAAUACGAUAGGAAUCAAGCGUGUAUGAUGAAACAAAAUACUGAGCUGUAAAGAAUUCAUAAUCUGAGUAGAGAUCACCAAAUUAAAACACACAUCCACAUAUCAUUAUGGUUCACAUGUCCUUGUUGAUUCGAUCACAGAAGGAGAGUAAUACAAAGCAGAAGAAAUACUCGUCUCCAAUCUUUCCUCUUCGGAUGAUGAAUCAAAGAAGAGCAGUAUGAUUAUGAAUCUUUAUGUAGUACAUCAAACGCAUGUAACACUUUAUUCUGUGACAAAUGAGUUGUAGAAAAAGAACAAAGAAGAAAGAAAGAAUAAUAGCAUAAUUCUUCAAACCACCAAGUCGCAUAACAAAGAGAGGCCCACCAAGCUGCACCAACUUUAUGUGGUACAUCAAAACUCAUGUAACACUUACUCUGUCAACAUAUGAUAGAUAUAAAAAAAAAUUAUGUUGUGACAAAUUAAUUGUAGAAAAAGAACCAAGAAAGAAGAAGAAUUGCAUAAUUCGUCAAACCACCAAGUUGCAGAUCAGCAUAAUAAAGAGAAGCCCACCAAGUUUCCCCAACUCCUCCAGAAUUACGGAAACUUAUUCCCUGUCAAAAUACAGAAAAACCAUAGAGACUCUUCUCGAAUACGGGCAAUUAUUCCCUGCUAGUAACAUCAGUUGAACUUUUCACUGAANCCAUUAUCUUGUAUGCUCUAAACCAAAGUAAAAUUCAUGUUACAAAUAUAGAAACAUAAUCGCGUAUUAUAGAAUAAUGCAUAAUUUUAUCCCAAAUACGAUAGGAAUCAAGCGUGUAUGAUGAAACAAAAUACUGAGCUGUAAAGAAUUCAUAAUCUGAGUAGAGAUCACCAAAUUAAAACACACAUCCACAUAUCAUUAUGGUUCACAUGUCCUUGUUGAUUCGAUCACAGAAGGAGAGUAAUACAAAGCAGAAGAAAUACUCGUCUCCAAUCUUUCCUCUUCGGAUGAUGAAUCAAAGAAGAGCAGUAUGAUUAUGAAUCUUUAUGUAGUACAUCAAACGCAUGUAACACUUUAUUCUGUGACAAAUGAGUUGUAGAAAAAGAACAAAGAAGAAAGAAAGAAUAAUAGCAUAAUUCUUCAAACCACCAAGUCGCAUAACAAAGAGAGGCCCACCAAGCUGCACCAACUUUAUGUGGUACAUCAAAACUCAUGUAACACUUACUCUGUCAACAUAUGAUAGAUAUAAAAAAAAAUUAUGUUGUGACAAAUUAAUUGUAGAAAAAGAACCAAGAAAGAAGAAGAAUUGCAUAAUUCGUCAAACCACCAAGUUGCAGAUCAGCAUAAUAAAGAGAAGCCCACCAAGUUUCCCCAACUCCUCCAGAAUUACGGAAACUUAUUCCCUGUCAAAAUACAGAUCAAAAACCAUAGAACUACUUCUCCGGAAUUACGGAAACUUAUUCCCUGUCAGAAUACACAUCAGUUGAACUUUUUCAACUGAAACAGCCAAGUGCAAAUCAUUAAGGAGCAAAUCAAGAUGUUGUGCAAUAAUGAGAAUCUGAAGAAAUGAAAAUAAUUCACAAUUCAUGUAGAGGGCUUGAUUCAGAUAUCCAGAAAUCAAAUCGCCGCAAAAUGGGUAAAUGCAUAUCUCAAUAUCCUUUAAUAUUUAAGAGCAUAACCCAAUCAUUGAAUAAUGAUAGAGUCGAGGAAACUAGAUCCUCAAUAAAAACCGAGCAAUGUGAAGAGAACUCGUGAACAAUUUAAGAAAAUAAGACCUUCAACUAAGACAAAGAAAAGUGAAGAAUUUAAAAUUGGAGUAGAGCACACCAAAUGAAAUUGUAGAAUCUGAUGCUACAUAGGCUCCCACAGCUAUACUCCAAAUCAGAGUGAUAAUGUUUUGGGAGAAAAUAUUCCUAUUCUUAUAAAUAGAAAAUGAUAUAAGAAAAAACAUAUAACAAAGGAAGUGGAAAACCAAUGGAACAAAACAAGGCCAAACCAAGCUUUCCGAAAUUCUCUAACCUUGGCGUGCUGGCAGACAAAUCUUAUAUGCUUCAGCAUUCCUCCACUUGAUACGAAAACUCCCAACACAAUCAAGACACACCUUCAAAGAACAAAUAUCCAAUUGCAAAACAGAUACAAAUGUGAGAAAAAAGGCUGGUUUCGUCCAAAAGAUUGAAAGGAUAUUGUAUUGUAUGUUAACCUCUGCUUGCAACAGAGCCAAGGCACACCAAAAUUUAUAACAGCCCCAAACUAAGCUUACUAAAAUUCUCCAUCCACGGCGCUAGAAAACAAAUCUUGUAUGCUUCUAUAUUGUAACACCAAAAUGAAAAUUCAAAAGAACUGAGAAAAGUAAAGCAUACAACACAGCCUGCAGAACAUGCUGGUUGUUUGGAACAGAUGACUAUCCAAUUUGCAAUAUCUUGUCCUCAACACAGCCUGCAGAACAUGCUGGUUUGGAACAGAUGACUAGCCAGGGGAUAUUGAUUUAGGAGUACAAGUCACAAAUCACAAUCAAAACAAUAAACAAUAAAAGAAUAUCGCCACUCUUUUGCCAAUGUAUCCCCAACAAACAGAUAGUCAAAGCAAAUAACACCAACCAAGAUGUCCAUUUCUCUUUUAGAACUACCUUUUUUGAAUUCUCUAAUUCUCGUUCUACAAAAGUAACAGGCCUGUUGUCCAUUUCUACAAACACUGCUUGCAUCUUCUUGUAGAUUUCAAUGUUACUAGCUUUCUUUUGCACUUUCAACCAUUUUAUACUGAUCAUCAGACCCUUGAGAACUGCAAGGCUCUGGGUGUGCAUAGGGCUGUUGAGGAAGAACACCAUUUGAAGGUGUUAAUCCAAGUAGUCCACCAAGCAAAGUCUGAAAUGUUUAUUCAUAACAAUGAAUUAGGUAUGAUUAUAUUAGUGAUGAUGAGUUUCAUAAUUGGUAUAUAUCGAUAGAUACCGUGAAUCCGAGUAAGAAUAUGUCAUAAUGAUAUGCAGAAGGUUUCUUGAGAUUGAAUUCUUUCAGUUGUGCCAUCCCAGAAGCAACAGUACCAUCAAGGCAGGAAUAAAAGCAGAAAAAAUCUAUGUUGGAGAAACCUUCCCCAUGUCAUGUGUCAUAUGUUAAAAUCUAUUAUUAGUUAUUUUGCGAUUUCAGGAGUCCUUAUUGAAAGAAAACCCAAACUAGGGUUUAUUUGCACGUGAAUUACUUCGGUAACUGUCAAAUGGUGUAAAUAUGUAGGGGACAUCAAAGUCAUGUAACAUUAAAAGGCUCACCAGAAAUGUGCAAACUUUUUUACUGUCAAAUUAUAGAUCAAAAACCCAAAUUUAGAACAUACACUUUUGUGGGAAAAAAGUAGUAUUGACGGGAAAAACCCCUAAGGCUGAACUAUAUCAUUAAACAUCAAAAUCAAAUCACUUAUCCAAGUAAAAAUCAUAACAGAGUAAAUCAGGAUGAAGUGCAAUAAAAAUCAAAACAAAAUAAACCUGGGGAUUGAUUCUACACAAUGUUAUUGUUUCAAAACAAAACUCUGCAGAAGAAGAAAAAAAGAAUCAUUUCAGUUCAUAUGUAUGGCGAUGAAUACCAGAAGCGAAUACAAAACAUGAAGGCCAAAACAACAGAAAACAAAACAAAGUACGUGUGUUCACAAAAUUACCUUUCCUGCAACAUCAGAGAAAAUAAUAAAUUAAGAAAAAUAUUAUUUAACAAUUGUUGUAAAGCAGACAAUUUUGAAAGAAAUCAUCAAAUCAAAACUCAGAGGCUCCACUCUAUUGGGAGAUAGUUAUUAUUUAACAAUUGUUGAAAACUAGAUAGAUUUUAAAAGAAAUCACCAAAACAAAACUCAGAGACUCAACUUGAUAAUGAAAGAUAGAGAUUAUUUUGACAAACCAUUGCAGAAAAACAAGUUCACAAUUCGAUUUGUAUGUAAUGUGAUCAAAGCCGGAAAAUAAAAAUGAUAUAGAAUGACUGAAUGGAGGAAUUGAUUUAUAUCGGUAGCUCUUGUUCUUAUCCACACUAUUAAGAAUUGCCAACAUGCUGCAACAAGGAUAAACACAUCUCAAUACUAUCUUACUUUAAAAAGUAUUGCUUGAUUAUCAAAUGAAUAACUGUCCAUAAAAAACUAUGCAUUAAAUCAAAGAUAAUUGGAAGAACUAUGCAUUAAAUCAAAGAUAACUGGAAGAACAAUCAAUCAAAACCCGAACAACUCAUCAUUAGUGGCAAAUCAUUAAUAUAAAAUCAGAAAACUCCAAUAUCUAUACAAUCAAGAGAAUCAAUGAAAUCAAAAUAAUCCACAAUCCAAGAAGAGUGUAUCAAAAUAAACCUAAUUGCUUUAUAUUACACAACCAUAUUUUUAAAAAUAUUGCACAAUCCAAGAAGAGUAUUACAAUAAACUUGAUUGCUUGAUACUACAAGUGAUUUAGCAGUUCACGAAUUCAAUAAAGGAUGAUAAACAUGUAAAUGUAUCAAGAUUGCAACACAUAACCAAUAUUUGAUACUCUACUGGCAACACCUUAUAGCAGAAAUUUCGCAUCAAAACUCCACUGUACUGCUAACAAAGGAAUACAUGAUCAAAAGAAGAAGAAUAUUUGAAGAACUCAAUAUUGUAGCAAAUCAUUAAAGUUAAAGAGGAAACUCAUGCUGAGCAUAACUGCAUUGGCAUUUAAAUUCGUAGAGAAGAAUUUAAUAGAGAUCACCAAAUCUAAAAACUAGGUUGGAGAAUUUAUAUAUUGUCUCACCUUACAGUGACAAAUAGGAAAAUAACAACAAAUCAAGAAUCAUCUGCUCUCAGAAUUGAUAAAGAAAUAUUGACAAUAAAAGAAUUUAUAAAAUCAUAUUCAGAUUUGGCAAGGGUUGUUUCUUCCUUCCUUAAGCCCCAUUGAUAGUUUACAAUCUUCUUAUUUCCAAUUUAUAAAAUCUCAUCUAAUAAAAUAAUAUAAAUAAUAAUAAUAAUAAUAAUACUAUAAUAAUAAUAAUAAUAAUAUAAUAAUAAUAAUAAUAGUGCUUAUAUGGAUAUCGUACAAUAUUGCAUUGACAUUUAUCUUCGGAGAAAGAAUACAACUUCACAAGAGAAAUUCAAAAGAAAGAGUGAAUCAUAUAUAAAUUUCAGAUAUUUGGUAAUGUUUGCAUGUAGCAAAACAGACACAUCUCGACUUAGCCAAGAAAGAAAUGGAUAUGUACUACAUAACCGUAAAUACUGAAGCUCUUCUAAUACUUGCAUUCCUUCUUCAAAACACAAAAAUCAACAUUACCUCAUUACACUCUCAUAGGACACCUAUACUUCAAAUGUACAUUCAAGGGAAAAAAUGACUCGUUGAAUGCAAAGGUUCAAUUCCACAAUACACUCAUAGCCUCUCUCCAAUGAAUCAUCAAACAAAAUGUCCACGACAAUCAUCUAAGCAGUAUUCACAAUAAAUAUUCCAUAUGACAUCUACAGGGAAUUUACGAAGAAAUCCCAAAAAUAAGAUCUCAACAUAUUAUACAAAGAAACAUGAAGAAUUAAUAGUCAUAUGAGAGAUCACCAGAUGAAAGUACAAAAACAACCAAUUGCAGCCUCUUGUUCUUAAUUAGGCUCCCCUUAUACCAGGUUCUUGCACCAGUUGCAGCUGAGGGAUAAGAGAAGACUUUUGGUUUAGUCUUGUACAUCACAUAUGACAAUAAAAAUGAAAAUAUAAAAAAUAAAUUAUAACAAAGGAAAUGGCAAACCAACAACAAAAAGAGGUGCAAAAAAACUGCAGAAUUCCUUAUCCUCGAGAUAGAGAUGUUCCUGAGAAUUGGGUAUGGUUUCUUGUAUGCCUCCAACUAAAACAGGACACACAAUUAGAGGACAAAUAUCCCAAAUACCAAAACAAAUAGACUAUAUGUAACUAAAAAAUUGAAUUUUCUUUCCCAAAGCUAUAUACAGAAAGAAUGUGAACCUCUGACAGCAGCUAUAAACAAAAGGAAUGUGAAGCUCGGACUGCCACAGGUUCCCCAGAAAACGAGACAUUUAUAGGUUAUCUCCUGUGUAACGUCCACACACAAGAGACUAAGGAUCUGACAAAAGUAGAUGUUGACUUGAGUAUCAAAACCAAACAAAGAUUGAAAUGAGAAGAGCAUUAGUAGAGAUGACCAAGCUAGAGCGUAGCAACAGAGGGAGUAUAUAGUCCCCAAAAUAUGAUUGAUCAAGGAACUUUGAACAUUAGAACUUGCUAGAUGCAAACAUGUUACGGAAGGUUCAACCAACAGUAAUAUUUAAAAUACUAGGAAAAUGCAAUAUGAAAGUGGGAAACCAAUUUUUAGUUAAGGUAACUGGCUUUAUGUAUAUCAGUUCAAACCUGAGUAAGUAGACAAAAGAAAAUAUUGCUCACGAUCCAUGUUACACAAGAAAUGCUGUAAAACAUAGCAGUACAAUAACCCAUCGCUUAGGAAACCUGAGUAAGUAGAUAACCCCAGAAAAAAGAGGCCUGAAUGAGGCCCACUGUUGCACUGUUCCAGUUGAACUCUUGAGACAUUGGAAGUAUUGCUACACUCAUAUUUACCCACAAAAAGGGAAAUGUACAGCAUAUAUCAGUAUCAUUAGGUUAGUAAGAUUGUGGAAAUAUAGAAACAAUUAAUCAAAUAUACACAAACGCCUGAUAUAAAUAGCAUUGUAACUGAAGCUAUAAACAAAAGAAAAUAUUGCUCACGCAAUCCAUGUUACACAAGAAAUGCUGUACAACAUAGCAGUACAAUAACCCAUCGCUUAGGAAACUGCUGCCGCCAAGGAGAUAUUUGAUUAAGAUUUCCUUCCAGAAGAAUGGCUUCACCAGUCCCUUCAGUUGAUCGCCUAUCAAUCAUCGUUUCUCCAAUGUCAUUAUCCUCAGACUUGUAACAAGCACAAAACAUAUUUACUUUCCUUUGUCCAACAUCGCUACUGCCAAAUGGAGCUGAAGAAAGGUAAGAAUAACUUCGUUGGGGGGUCGGCGUCAUCUCUCCCUCACGAGUUGGAUGUGUCUGACCCACGAAAGAGUCGCCCUUCACAUAUUUCUUAAGGUGUGCCUAUCGAUUUCUUGCACCAAUUGCAGAUUCGCUGAGGGAUACGCAUAUGGGAGAGAAGAUUUUUAAUUUCGCCUUAUAUAUCACAUAUGACAAGAAUAAAAAUGAAAAAAGAAAAAAGAAAUUAUAACAAAGAAAAUGGCAAAUCAACAAAAUUAAAAAAAUCCUUAUCCUCGGGAUAGAGAUGUUCCCUAAAAUCCGAUAUGGUUUCUUGUAUGCCUCCAACUAAAACAUGACACACCAUUAGAGGACAAAUAUCCCAAAUACCAAAACAAAUAGACCAUAUGUGACAAAAAAAUUGAAUGUUCUUUCCCAAAGCUAUAGAUAAAAAGAAUGUGAACCUUGACUGCAGAUAUAAUCAGGUUCCAUAGGUUAUCUCCUGUGUAACAUCCAAACACAAGAGACUAAGGACCUGACAAAAGUAGAUGUUGCAUAUCAAAUCAAACAAAGAUCGAAAUGAUAAGAGUAUUGAUUUUGUGUAGCUUAAUCGAGAUCGGAAGAGAAUUGUGCAGCAAAAGCUUCUAAUUCUGAGAAUUGUGCUAAUUCCAAUUUUAAUUUACCCGCUACUUGUUUCAUGGCUUUUAUUUGAGCCGCCAAUCCAACUCUGGAAUCGGAAAUACCCACAUUAAUUAAGGUCUGAUCCCAGCAUUGAAUAGAAAUGACAUUAGUAGGAAUAUAAGUUGAAACAUCUCCGGAUUAGGUCUCAACUAUUGGUAAAGCAGUCAUACUUCCUUCACCUAACUGAGAACUUAGUAGAGAUGACCAAACUAGAGUGUAGCAGCAGAGAGAGUACAUAGCCCACCAAACUAGAGUGUAGCAACAGAGAGAGUACAUAGCCCACAAAGUAUGAGGAUUCAUAGGGAACAAAAUAUUCCGCCCAACUAAAGAGAUCAUGUAAUGAUAAUUUUGGUUUCAUCCUAAUAGAAAGUCUUUGGGCCACUGCAACAGAGAGGAUAUCUUUUUAGGAGUAUGUAUCAUAAUCAUCUUAAAUCACAAAAAAAACAAUAAACAGUAAGAUAUAGAAAACCUAUCCAGAAAAAGUUAAGUUCUCCCCAUCCAACCAACCAUCAUAACAAACAAAACAUCUUAUAAAAAAUUCCUCAACUUGGAAGUGGAAAAGUAAUCCCAUAAUCUUGAAUGUUAAGCCAGACUAUAACUCAGUUCCUAGUAUAGAAACGCACAAAAGCUUCACUGCCCGAAGAAAUGCAAAAACUUAGACACAAGCAUGUAAGUAAAAAAAAAAUCACAGAUCCUCAAAAGAAGAUCUCCAUGCCUACACUUUGAGAACAGCAAUCAACACAAGAAAACAAGAACAAAAAACCUGAAAUCAAAGCACAGCAAGAAAUGUGAAGUUAAUGGCAUCCACUAACUGAGAAAAGGUAUCAAUACGAAAAUCCCUAACAACCUCGUUCAUAGCAGCCGGUCCAAGAAAUCAAGAACAACAAAACCUGAAAUCAAGCCUUCGCGGAGCAAACAACUCGCCAACUCAUCAGGUAAUCAAGAAAAGAGAGAAAGUAUGGCACAAGAACGAGAACAAGCAAACUAUGGAAUCAAGAAAUCAAAACCAUACCCUCUCCUGCAACCACCAAAGGCUCUAAGGAGGAGAAAAACAGGUUCACUAUUUAAUGAAGAAAUCUGAAACUAUUUCUCGUUCUUAGGUUAUCUCCUGUGUAACAUCCAAACACAAGAGACUAAGGAUUUGACAAAAGUAGAUGUUG